GACGAACGCUGGCGGCGUGCUUAACACAUGCAAGUCGAACGAUGAAGCCCAGCUUGCUGGGUGGUUUAGUGGCGAACGGGUGAGUAACACGUGAGCAACGUGCCCGAGACUCUGGAAUAACUACCGGAAACGGUGGCUAAUACUGGAUAUAUGCCAUGUAGGCAUCUCCUCUGGUUGGGAAGAUUUUUCGGUUUCGGAUCGGCGCACGGCCUAUCAGCUUGUUGGUGGGGUAAUGGCCUACCAAGGCGACGACGGGUAGCCGGCCUGAGAGGGUGACCGGCCACACUGGGACUGAGACACGGCCCAGACGCCUAUGGGAGGCAGCAGUGGGGAAUAUUGCACAAUGGGCGCAAGCCUGAUGCAGCAACGCCGCGUGAGGGAUGACGGCCUUCGGGUUGUAAACCUCUUUGAGUAGGGAAGAAGCGCAAGUGACGGUACCUGCAGAAAAAGCACCGGCUAACUACGUG
RNAcentral lists this ribosomal RNA (467 nucleotides) under uncultured bacterium. Its description in RNAcentral is "partial 16S ribosomal RNA". It matches the Rfam family "Bacterial small subunit ribosomal RNA", at positions 28 to 507 of the family's 1533-position model. The record is from RNAcentral.